GGGGGUCUGUAAACAUGAAUCCAGUGAGAAAGAAAGAUGGGUUUGGAAUGACAUGAGGUGGCCUCUAUAGAGAAAACACAGGGUUAUGAAGAAACCGUAGGAGGAACAAUGGCUCGAAAAAGGACACCCGUCCUCCUCUGCUCGACUUGGAACUCAAUUUGUCCUCCCGCACAGUUUUGGCAAGAAAAAGCCAUCUGAAGGCAUAAAUAUACAUUGAGCAUCAGUCUGUGGUUUAUGGCAGAGAACCUACGCAACAAACAACAAACGUCUACGUAUUACAGCAAAAGCCUACGCUAAAAGGAAAUCGCACACUUAUACGUAGAUAUGUUUAUUUGUGUUGCCAUUGUGGGCCGCUCUCACGCUGAACUACAGGCCUGAGAGGAAGUUUCCAGUGCGGUUACCAUGACGAGGGUCUUGGAGUACAGGAAGUUCAGUGCUAAGAGAAAUGACAUCCGAGAGGGACGCAGACAAACAUUUGUCCAGAUGAACUGGGGUAACAGGAUUGUGUUUGGACAGGAGCUUCUCUCCGCAGGGAACAAGCUGUAGAAACAAGCUGAAGAAAUUGAGAAAUUCAUGAAAAUGUCUGUUUCCGACUGGAAUGAAGAUUUUACAGGCAAAACAAAGAAAAGCCCCCUCGGCUGGAGAGAGAGAGAGGGAUGGAAUGAGAAAGAGAGCUAGUGAAACAGUGAGUCAUGAGUGCAGCUUUGAACAACAAGGGGAAAUCCUCCUAUUGAGAGGCAUGUGCUAUGGAAACACAUCACUCAUAGAGGUAACGGAACCGGAGGCCACACAUAAACCAAAACCUUUAGCCAU
This is a long non-coding RNA of Cyprinus carpio carpio, 813 nucleotides long. The record is from Ensembl. Lineage: Eukaryota; Metazoa; Chordata; Actinopteri; Cypriniformes; Cyprinidae.